ACAGUUCAACAAUAUAGCUGCUGUCACAGUAUUUUUUGUCUGGAUUAAGCUCUUCAAAUUCAUCAAUUUUAACAGGACCAUGAGCCAGCUCUCGACAACCAUGUCUCGAUGUGCCAAAGACCUGUUUGGCUUUGCUAUUAUGUUCUUCAUUAUUUUCCUAGCAUAUGCUCAGUUGGCAUACCUUGUCUUUGGCACUCAGGUCGAUGACUUCAGUACUUUCCAAGAGUGUAUAAUAUGUUUUUGGCCAUCAUCAAUGAUACUUACUCUGAAGUGAAAUCUGACUUGGCACAGCAGAAAGCUGAAAUGGAACUCUCAGAUCUUAUCAGAAAGGGCUACCAUAAAGCUUUGGUCAAACUAAAACUGAAAAAAAAUACCGUGGAUGACAUUUCAGAGAGUCUGCGGCAAGGAGGAGGCAAGUUAAACUUUGACGAACUUCGACAAGAUCUCAAAGGGUGAGAAUCAUGCUUCCCGAGGUUCUGAAAAAUUCCUACUUCUAAAGAUAAAUUCCUGGUGAUAAGAAUAUUUCUAGCCCAAGGGCUCAUACAGAUACUUUUUUUUUUUUUUUCCAGAGGCAGGUAUCUUUCUGGAACAUGUUAAAAGAGGAAAACUUGCCCCCAUUUGGUGAUUUCUCCUUUCCUCCUGCAUUUUGAUGUCUCUGUGUUUAGGGUGAACUGGGUACAGGGAAUGAGUUUUAUCUGUAUCCUCUCUCUAAUUUCAGGAAGGGCCAUACUGAUGCAGAGAUUGAGGCAAUAUUCACAAAGUACGACCAAGAUGGAGACCAAGAGCUGACCGAACAUGAACAUCAACAGAUGAGAGACGACUUGGAGAAAGAGAGGGAGGACCUGGAUUUGGAUCACAGUUCUUUACCACGUCCCAUGAGCAGCCGAAGUUUCCCUCGAAGCCUGGAUGACUCUGAGGAGGAUGAUGAUGAAGAUAGCGGACAUAGCUCCAGAAGGAGGGGAAGCAUUUCCAGUGGCGUUUCUUACGAAGAGUUUCAAGUCCUGGUGAGACGAGUGGACCGGAUGGAGCAUUCCAUCGGCAGCAUAGUGUCCAAGAUCGACGCCGUAAUUGUGAAGCUAGAGAUUAUGGAGCGAGCCAAACUGAAGAGGAGGGAGGUGCUGGGAAGGCUGUUGGAUGGGGUGGCCGAGGAUGAAAGGCUGGGUCGUGACAGUGAAAUCCAUAGGGAACAGAUGGAACGGCUAGUGCGUGAAGAGUUGGAACGCUGGGAAUCCGAUGAUGCAGCUUCCCAGAUCAGUCAUGGUUUAGGCACGCCCGUGGGACUAAAUGGUCAGCCUCGCCCCAGAAGCUCCCGCCCAUCUUCCUCCCAGUCUACAGAAGGCAUGGAAGGUGCAGGUGGAAAUGGGAGUUCUAAUGUCCACGUAUGAUAUGUGUGUUUUAGUAUGUGUGUUUCUAAUAAGUGAGGAAGCAGCUGUCCUGAAUUGCUGUAACGAGCACACUAUUUAUAUGCCCUGACCACCAUAGAAUGCUAGUCUUUGUGACCGAUUGCUAAUCUUCUGCACUUUAAUUUAUUUUAUAUAAACUUUACCCAUGGUU
Molecule: small RNA, 1554 nt
Filed under: Pongo abelii (Sumatran orangutan)
Lineage: Eukaryota; Metazoa; Chordata; Mammalia; Primates; Hominidae
Description: retained intron
Source: RNAcentral